Molecule: long non-coding RNA, 4644 nt
Filed under: Sus scrofa (pig)
Lineage: Eukaryota; Metazoa; Chordata; Mammalia; Artiodactyla; Suidae
Description: lncRNA (ENSSSCG00040046162.1)
Source: RNAcentral
UAAGAGAAUAAAUUUGUGUUAAGUCACUAAAUUUGUGAUGAAUGAAUAAAGAAGAUGUGGUUUAUAUCUACAAUGGAAUUCUUCUUCGCCAUAAAAAAAAGAAUAGGAUAAUGUUAUUUGCAGCAACAUGGAUGGACUUGGAGGGUAUUAUGCUAAGUGAAAUAAGACAGAGAAAGACAAAUACUGUAUGAUAUCACUGGUAUAUAAAAUCUGAAAAAUACAACAAAUUAUUGAAUAUAAUAGAAAGAAGCAAACUCAUAGAUACAGAGAACAAACUAAUUGUUACCAAUGGGGAGAAGGAAGAGGGAAGGCGCUAUGGAGAAUAAGGGCGCAAGAGGUACAAACCAUUAUAUGUAAAAUAAGCUACAAGGAUGUUUUUUACAACAGGAGGAAUAGAGCCAAUAUUUUAUAGUAACUAUAAAUGGAGUAUACAGUUUAAAAAUCAUCAAUCACUGUUGUGUAAACUGUAACAUAAUUUUGUAUAUCAAUUAUAUGUACUUCAACAACAACAACAACAACAAAUCAACGAAAGCUGGCUUUGGCCAUAGGGCCAUAUCUCAGGGGUUGAUAAAGAUUAUCUUCCUAUUCACCUUCUUGGUUUAUUACUCCUUUAAAUUUCUGGGGCAGAGGACAUUGUAUCCAAUUAAUGACUUAAAUGUAUAAGGUAUGUUUAAGUGCACUAAUUGGAUUUGUAAUAUAAAGUACUUAUAAAAGGCUUGCUGCAUGGUUAACAGCUAUUAAUUUUUUAUGAUUGUUAUUUUGCAUCUUCCUAAUUUGUGAGGCUUAUUAUCUCUCUGUAUAUUGACCAACUAUUCGAGAUUACUUUUCCGUGAAUAAUGUAGACUCCUAAGAGAAAUAUUAGAACGAUUCUUUUUUAUAAUCAUGUUGUCCUUUAAUUCAAUUUUAUUCUCACUUUGCUAAGAUUAUUUUUUAUCGUGAAUGAGUGUCGGCUAUUAACAAGUGCUUUUUAGCACCUAUUAAGAUGAUUGUAAUUUGUCUCCAUAAAAUCUAUUAAGGUAUUUAAGUGCAUUUUUAUAUUCUUAAAAAUUAUGUCAUAUUUACAUUCUCAGAAUAAACCCCAGUUGAUUGCAAUGUUUCGGUACACCGCUUAAUAUAAUUAGCUCAUGAUUUACCUAGGAUUUUGUGUCAGUAUUCUCAAAUAAGAUUUGGCUUUAAUUUUCCUUUAUAAAACUGUAUUUGCCUAGAUUUAGUAUGAACAUUAUACCACCCUCUUUGAAUCCAUUAUAAAUUUGAAUGUAUUUUUUCCUUUUCUAUGCCUUAGUAAAGGCUUUGUAAAAUGAACGUUUUAUCUAUUACAUAGGGAUUUGAAAAAUUUGUUUUCAAACUUUAUGGAUGUAGUAUGUAUGUAUGUCACAUAUUUAUGGAUAGCUAUAAGUGUGGAUAGAUAAACAGAGAUAUAGACAUGAUAGCUAGCUAGCUAGAUUAACUUACUGCAAUAGUGAUUAGCAAACUGCAGCCUGCCAGACAAAUCUGACCCAUGAUCUCUUUUUAUAAAUAAUGCUUAAUUGGCAUACAGCCACGCUUAUUCGUUUAUAAGUAGUCUGUGACUGUUUUCACCCUACAGUGACAGUACUGAGUAAAGGGAACAGAGUCUGUAGGCCCAAAAUGCACCCGCCUCCCAUUCCCGACUGCCACAUUUAAUACCUGUCCUUUUACAGACAAUUUCUUUACUCCUGGAUUAUAGGAUCCGUCUAUUUCAAUAUUAUUCAUUUACUCAAGAUUUUUAUUUAAUAAUGAGUGAAUUUAACAGUGUAUUUUUUUGGACAAUUUUUUCGUUACAUCUAACUUUUCAUUAAGUAUUUCAUGAAUGUCUUCUAAGUAACAGAUGCUUUUCUAGACAGUACAGUUUUAACAAUGGACAAAACAAGAACACAACCUUGCCCUUGUGGACUUGAUAGUCUAGAGGGGCGUGGAGACAAUUAAAAUAUACUAAUAAAUAUAUACAGGCGCUUCAGGUAAUGAUCAAUGCUCAGAAGGAUACAUUGGAAGAUGAUAUUUUCAAUAAUGUGCAGGAACGGUCUGUUUGAGGAAGUUAACAAUUUGAACAAACACGUUAAAUAAAAGGCGGCAUGCAUCUUUGACUGUCUUGAGGAGUAACAAUACAAGGAGAGGAAACUUCCAAUGCAGAGGUCUUGAUGUGGAAACAUACUUGUAUUUAUUAUAUGGCAAGAACAGCAAGGAAAUUCAGUUAGCUGGAACAGAAUCACCAAGAGGUAGAAUGUUAGAAGAGGGAGUCAGGGGUGAUCGAGGGGUCAAGGUCAGGAUUCAUAUUUGUCCGUGUGUAAUGGGAUGCCAUUGGUAAGUUUUGAGCGGAUUUAUGACAUGAUAUGACACUCAUUUUUAAGUGAACCCCAUUGACUAUGUGGGGUGAACAUACCUUUGAGGGAAGCCAGCCUAGCCCAGAGACCAGUUAGGAGGUUAUUGUAAUUGUCCAAAUGAGAGGAGACGGGGGUUCGACUAGGGUACUAGAAAGAAUUACACGAAUAUAUCUCAAAAGUGACAUUCAUUGAUAGAACAGUUGUGAAUUGUGAACCAGAGAGGGAUCAAGGUUCUGACAACAUUUUUGUCCUGAAAAACUGGGUGAUAUUAAUGAUAUAUUACAAUAGGGAAUGGUAAACGUGAAGCAAAUUUAAGAUUAGGGUGAGGGAUUAUGAAUUUUGUUCAAACAUGUUAAGUUUAUGAUGCAUAUUUAAUAUCCAAAUGAAGACAUAGGACAGAUCAUAAACUAGAAAAUCUGGAGUCCAGGGAAGUACUCCGGGCUGGAGAUAGAACUUGAAAUGCAUCAGGUUAUACAUUAUACUGAGAGUCCACACACUGGUUAGGAUCAUUUGUGCAGUGUAGCUGGAUAAGAGAAGCAGCCCAAGCUUGACUUCUGGAAGGGGAGAAGGAGCCAUAAACAUACUGUGAAGGAGUGAGAGAAAAGGAGAAGUAGAAAUGUGUCUUGUGGAAGCAAAGGAAAGAAAUACCUUCAAAGGGGGAAAAAAAAGGGUUGACUCUUUCAAAUACUGUUGAGAUGUCUAGAUGAGACCUGAACAUCAGCAUUGGGUUUGGCAGCUUGGAAGUCAUUGUUAUCUAUGAUGGCAAAAGUUUGUGACACGAAGCGGACCAGAUACUGUUGGAGUAGGCUCAAGAAGAAUGCUAGGUGAAGAAACGUAGCAGUGCACUUCCCUUGAAUUUUAAAAUCUCAGUUGUAUCUGCACAUAAUUCCUCUGAUUUUUUUUUUUUGUCUUUUGUCUUUUUUAGGGCCACACCCUCAGCAUAUGGACAUUCCCAGGCUAGGGCUCGAAUCAGAGCUGUAGCUGCUGGCCUAUACCAUAGCCACAAUGCUGGAUUUGAGCCGCAUCUGUGACCUACACCAUUGCUUAUGGCAAUGCCAGAUUGUAAACCCACUGAGCAAGGCCAGGAAUUGAAUCCGAGUCCUCAUAGAUACUGGUCGGGUUCAUUAACCACUGAGCCAUGAUAGAACCCCUUCUCUGAUUUUUAAAAGUAAGUUUAUUUCAGUAUUUUUUUUUUUUAUCUGUCUUCUUUAGGUUAUCUCCUUUGUAUUUUCUAAGAAUCAGUGUCCGUUUGGGUGUAUCUCAUUAAUGGCAUAUUUAUGUAUGACAGUGUAUGCUCUCUUCUUUUGUAUGUUUUUCACUCAGCAGACAUUCUGGGCAUGGGAGCAGAGGUUUGAGAAGUUCUUAAGUGCUGUAACAAUAGACUUCAGGAGGUUGACUCUCUGUGCACAUCUAUAACAUAUCCACUAUACAUAUCCAUUAGUAAAGCUGGAUCUUGUACUGGCCUCGAUUUUGAUAUUUUGACCCUUUUCUUGAAAUAAGUGAUAAAAUUGCAACUUUGUGAUAAUUAAUUUUAUCAUUUAUCCAAAUAUAGACCAAAAUAUAUCAUGUCUCUCAUCUUUAAUUAUUUAACACAAGUUCUUCUCUUGGAGAACUAGGGUUUAUUGUUGUUGUGUUUAUGAUAUAGGAGUUAAUUUCCAUGUGAUCAAAAUAUUUCACAAUAUUUCAUAUUUAUACUUGUGAUAAAAUUUCUUAGUGAUUAAAAUAUAUCAUAUAAAAUAUUUCAAGUGUAAUAAAGUAAUAUUGACUUAACCAUCUUAUAUAUGAUUAUUGAAGAUGUUCUUCUUAACUAACACAUCUUUUGAUUUAAGUUAAAAAACUAAAACAAAAAGAGUUCUGAUUCUGCACUUGCAGAAUUAACUGCUGUAGAAACUGCAGUCUCACCAAAACCAAACCAAACAAAACACUGUAACAUCACACUACCUAUAUGCAAUGUCUUUUUCCUGACAUCAGACAACUGGCAGUCAGGGUUUGAUUCCUGAAAAGAACAGAAACAAACAUGAUGAGGCAUAUGGUUAUAAAGAUUUUUUUCCUGGAGUCAUUUCCAGGCUGCAGGUGUGGGGUCCCAGAUGAAGCUUAGUUGUCUGAGGAGACAGGAAUAGGAAUCUGGGGAGACCGAGAAACAGCUAGCAUUUGCUGAGCAGAAUAAUGGAGAGAAAGGAACUGCAUCGAGCAAGCUCAAGAGAUUUUUGGAUGGACUCCCUUGGGGUGACUUUUUUUUUUCCCCUGAAAACAGUGGUAGAGCUGAAUUGCUGAGCAAUUUGUUUAGCAUCCUACAGAACCCUUG